CCGGGAAACUGAUGUGGAUGCAGCAAGAUCCAGAGCAAACAUUGCUGCUGCUGCUGCUGCUGCUGCUGCUGCUCUACAGGCAGCUGCAGGGCCAGAGGAAACUGAAGAUUCCGAGUGUGAGAACGCAGUAGAGGUGACGGUCAGGAUAGGAGCCACAUGGACAAAUGGAUGGACAGAUGGACAGCAGGUCCACAUGGACCACUGGACGAAUGAACAGAUGGUGGCCGGAGUAGUCCUUGUCAACAGCAGAGACUGAGCUGCAGAACCUAGCCUAGUUAGGCGUUCUCUGCCCGUCGGUCCCUUGAUCCGCACAGGGCUUUAGAUGACAGGUUGGCGCGGCCACCACCACCCCAGCAUUAGGUGGGCUUCUCGCUAUGGGAUCAGUCCCCCAUUUACUUUGAUGAAUGUCAAGGGGAAGCGUCUACUUUUAGAAAUAAGUUUUUUUUAUCAUUCUGCACCUCGCGGGUGGUGAGAGACUGAAGGACCUGUUCACAUAGACCCCAAGAUGCAACGUCAUUUCACUUCCGAAUUUGCGCUGAAAACGGAGCCAUGGUCAACUGGAAUCCCUCAGGGCCAGGCACAGGCUGGGCAAUCACUGCUUUGCAGGGUCUGUGCAGACUCAGGGUGGAGCACAGACUGACCUCAACAGUAAGCAGGCCAUAGUGCAGGAGAGGGCUUCCAUUAGGAGCAUGGAGCCUUCCAGGCCCGGCUGGCAGGGAAUGGUUCUGACAUCUGUGUGUUUAGCUUCACAGCUGUGGAAUGUUUCAACCAGAAACUCGGAGGGAAAGAUGCUCCCCCACCAAGAAUGACCAAACGCCAUCACGAACUAGACGUGGAACAGAUGCUGUGCAAAAAGUGUUAGUGGAGGAAGGUGAGCCAGAGCGAGAAAGGAACAAAGGGAGGCAGGGACUGGAGUCUCCUUCCCAGAGCCAGAACUCUAACGCAAGCUGGGUGUCGGCAGUGACAGGGACAGCUUGUCUGCUCUCGUGAAUGAUGCAUGGUGCUCCAAGGAUUUGUUUGAUGUUGAAAUGUUUUCUUGAGCAAGAGUCACAAAAGGAACGAUUGUUGCCUGACAUUGCUUCAUGUUUAUGAGACCGUGAUGACCGGCGUGGUCACUUCGUGAUGGGGCGGUGAGCGCGUCUCUUGCCGUGUGCUGCCUUUAGCCAUGUCUUGGGCUUGUCUCUCCAGUUUAGCUGCUGCCCUGACCUGUAUGUAACUAAUGGCAUUUAUGUGUUUUAGGAAUUCUAAAGAAAAACUUCCCACUUAACAAUUCUAAAAAAAAAAAAAAAAAAAAAAACCACGCAGUUUCAAUAAAAUCUCCUUAAAACCCCAUCAAACAAACAGAGAACCCUUGAGAUCGGCACUCUGGGGCUUAUCAAGAUGAAGCCAGCUCCAAAAGGCCAGGGACAUUAGCAGCUGACUCAGCCAAGGAAAUCUCGAGCCAGGAUGUACAAAGCCAAGGCCAGGGUUUAGAGAGGGAGCCAAAGGGCCCCAGGGUAUUUGUCUCCCAGCUUCUCUCUGUGAGUGUUCCUGUUGCUAUGGGGACAGAAGGCCUCUGGCAGGGAGAACUAUUCUAUCCAUCGCUGGCUACACGUGGAGGUGCCUUGCUUUGCUGUUGUUGUUUUCCUUGUGUUGUUUUUCAAACAGCACCUAUAAUUUCAGCCAACUCAGAACACCGAUACCCAAUUAAGAGCAGAACGGAAUGGAAGCAUCGUACUUGGGUGCUUUACCCUGGCAUUUUCCUCUUCUGGGGAGAAUGAGAAGUUAGAAACAAGAAUGGGGGGGGGGGUGUGAGACACAGUUAACCCACUACAACGUUCUUUGUUCCUGGGCGUCUCUGUGCUGCCCGUGUGGUUUCCACUGCUGUGAGCAGGCUUAGCAGGCUCCGCGCCUCCGCCACCAGCACAAGGCCAAGCUGCUGUCCUCAGAGCCUCUUUCCAGAGCUGAGUUCCUAGAGGACUUUCUCAACCAGCCAGAUAGAUACAUGCUCAUUUAAAUUCAAGCACGCACCCCCACAGGCUGAUCCGGGAGGGAGGGGAGGCUCACCCUGAAUUGAAUGACAAAUAAUACGCGUGGCAAAAACAACAUCAGCACUUAUUUGCCAAUGAAAGGACACUGGAAAUUAUUUCUGAUGGAAAUAUGAAAGAUGAAAUUCAAGCAGGGAGUGGGAGAGGAUUUUUCUUUUUUCUUUCUUAAAACUCGUCAAGAAGCAACUCCAUUGUUUCCCUGUAAAAGGACACUUUCUGUCCUGUGUGGGGAACUCAGUGGGCAGGUAGGACCCUGACCCCAGUGGAGGGUGCUAGGCCACUAAGCAGAGUUCAUGGGGGGAGGGGGCAGAAAAGUAACUCGGAUCUACAGGGGGUUCCCCUGAUGGUAGGUCAGCUCAGCAUCAUUUCCCUUCCUCUGGCAGCUUCCAGUCUUCUGUCAUUUUCCCUCUCUCACGCCAGCGUCAGACCCAUUAUUCCACAGGGAACAUCAAUCUCGAGAGGCGCCUGCAGCUUUGGGACAUGAACUACAUCUUGAGAUGGAGCUGUUAGACUCUGUCCCCUUUUCAUCGGUCAUAAGCCAACAAGAAUUCACCUGGAGCUGCCAGUGGGUAGGGACUCAGCCAUGGGCCAGCCUGCCUGAGGGCCUAAACAAUCCGAGUCAGGAGAGGAAGAGUGACGGGUUCCUAACUUGGUCCUAUGGACACCUGCAUUCGUUCAUUCCUGAAGCUAAACUGCCCUGGACCUGCUCUGAUGUUCGUUUCUGUAUUAGCUACUUUUCUACCUCUGUGAUAAAAACACCGUCACCAUGGUAAUUGAUAGAUCAAAGGGUUUAUUUGGGUUUACAAUUCCAGACCGGGAGAAUCCACGGUGGCGGUGGGGUGGUGGCGGUGUGAAGGCACAGCAGGAAACCGAGAGCUCAUGUCUUGAACAACAAACAUAAAACAGAGAGGAAAAGGGCAAGUCUUUUAAAUCUCAAAACCCACCCCCAGUGACGUACUUCCUCCAACAAGGCCACACCUCCACCAGCGCCAUCCACUGAAGACAAGUAUUCGAACAUCCAAACCUGUGGGGGACAUUGUCAUUCAGACCACCGCAGCUACCCGGGGAACUCAGUUCUGUCCAGGUUCCUGUCCCAUGCCCUCAUGCACUGAGCAAGGUGGACUGGUGGCUGCCCCUAAAAUAGCUUGGGUAGUGUGUGUCACUGGGUACCAGAAACAGACCUGAGCUUGAAUUCCCAAAGAAACAGGGUCAGGAUAUAACCACCUUACUUCCAGGGAGUCAGAGCUCAGGGAAGGCUGCUGCGUACCAGGGCCUCGUCUUUCUCUUACUCUAGACUAAGAACUUGAUAAAAGUAAGAGUGUCUAGUGAAGGCGGAGAGAUCGGGUGCUUAAUAAAAGGAAUCCCACAUUAACUCAGAACUAAAAAAGCAGAUCAGUGUUUAUUAAGGGGUAGACUUACAAAGUCAGGAUGUUCUGUUUGAAUGAUGGACGAAGAUCAGAUCCAAAGCAAACCAAACAGCAAAAACGGGGCCCAGGGGCAAGCAGAGAGGAAGGAAGGGGCCCGGACACACUUCCGCAUCUGGGUAAGAAGUCCACGAGGCCACGCCCCAGUAGGCGGGUAGGUAUUAGCUGUAACCUUCCCGCCGCAGUCUAGGGACCCCAACUGAGAACUCCUGGAGCCCAAACUUUAGGUGUUGACAACCUUAAGACGCCAAAGUAUCUGAAUACGGACUAGAUACCGUUUCCACCACUGGCAAAAAUGCCUGAGAGAAGCAGCUUAAGGGAAGAAGAAGUUGUUUUGGGUCACAUUUUGAGAGCUGUGAGUUCCUUACCAUGAGGAAGGCCGCCCUGCAUGCCCUGUGCUGGAGCACAUCUCUGGGACUCCUUACGUCUGUGAACCAGGAAGUGGAGGCUGGGCUGGAAGCAGAGUGAAGCUAUAACCCUCAAGGCUGGGUUUCCGGUGACCCAUUUCCUUCAUCUGUGGCCCACCUACCAAAGUUCCAGAACAUCUCAAAACAGCACCAAAGGCUGAGGACCAAGUGUCCAGACGCAUGAACCUGUGGGGGAUAUUUUACACUCAAACCGUAACAGACAGGGUCUCUCCGUGAACCUGCAGCUCACUGUUUCAGCUACACCGGCAAGCCAGUGAGUUCCCAGGAUCCACCUGUCGGUGUUCCUCCAGGACCAGAAAUACAGAUAUCUGCCACCAUGCCUG
Molecule: long non-coding RNA, 4202 nt
Organism: Alexandromys fortis (reed vole)
Lineage: Eukaryota; Metazoa; Chordata; Mammalia; Rodentia; Cricetidae
Exons: 3
Source: RefSeq, a predicted model, not a curated record